CCUUGUACUCCCAUUCCGGUGGCGGUGAGAAAGGGGUACGUAUGGGUUUUUGUUAAUCGGGAGCCGGUUGCAGCGGGAAAGGGCUCGAUCUAAGUUCUGCCGGACGGCUGGAGGCUUCGGGCAGCCUGAUUUUACUUUUUUUUUAUCCGAGCCCGGCCCGUGGGAUUAGUUACACGCUGGAGGAACUCAGUAGGCCAAGCAGCAUCAACGGAACAGAGGUCAAACCACAUUUCGGACGGAAUCAUUCGGCAAGACUUGAGAAAAAUAACUGACCAGUGGAUUUAAAAGGUUUCAAAUGACAAGGAAUUUGUUUACGGGAAUCUUGAACACAACACACCAGAUUUGCUGUCUCUGUCCACAUAUUUAAGAAGUGGAGCAAGGGAUUCACGAUCAUCUGACUAACUGGCACGGCCGUCAUUUUGCACAGGGAGGACCAUUCACCUGCUCAGACAGUGGGAAUGGAUUCACUCGGUCAUCUCAACUGAAGGUACAUCAGCAAGUUCACAUUGGGACAAGGCCAUUCACCUGUUCUGUGUGUGAGAAGGGUUUCAGUUGAUCUUCCCACUUGUGGACACACCAGUCAGUUCACACUGGGCAGGGGCUGGUCAUCUGCUGAAUUUGUGGGGAAGGAUUCACUCAGUCAUCUGACCUAAUGGCUCACCAGCGAGUUCACACCGGGAAGCGGCUGUUCACCUGUUCGGACUGUGGGAAGGGAUUCACUUUUUCAUCUAAACUGAAGAUACAUCAGCAAGUUCACACUGGGGAGAGGCCAUUCACCUGCUCGGUCUGUGGGAAGGGAUUCACUUGGUCAUCUGACCUAAUGGCUCACCAGCGAGUUCACACUGGGGAGCGACCAUUCACCUGCUCGGACUGUGGGAAGGGAUUCACUUGCUCAUCUAAACUGAAGGUACAUCAGCGCGUUCACACUGGGGAGAGGCCAUUCACCUGCUCAGUCUGUGGGAAGGGAUUCACUCGGUCAUCUGACCUAAUGGCUCACCAGCGAGUUCACACCGGGGAGCGGCCAUUCACUUGCUCGGACUGUGGGAAGGGAUUCACUUGCUCAUCUCACCUGAAGGUACAUCAGCGAGUUCACACUGGGGAGAGGCCAUUCACCUGCUCAGACUGUGGAAAGGGAUUCACUUUGUCAUCUGAUUUACUGAGACACCAGUCAGUUCACACCGGAGAGAGGCCGUUCAUCUGCUCAGUCUGUGGGAAGGGAUUCACUCGGUCAUCUUACCUAAUGGUACACCAGCGAAUUCACACUGGAGAUUGGCCGUUCUCCUGCUCGGACUGUGGGAAGGGAUUCACUUGGUCAUCUCAACUGAAGAUACAUCAGCGAGUUCACACUGGGGAGAGGCCGUUCACCUGCUCAGACUGUGGGAAGGGAUUCACUCUGUCAUCUCAUCUGAAGGAACAUCAGCGAGUUCACACUGGAGAGAGGCCGUUCACCUGCUCAGUCUGUGGGAAGGGAUUCACUUCGUCAACUCCACUGAAGGUACAUCAGCGAGUUCACACCGGUGAGAGGCCAUUCAUCUGCUCGGAUUGUGGGAAGGGAUUCAUUUUGUCAUCUGAUUUACUGAGACACCAGUCAGUUCACACCGGAGAGAGGCCAUUCAACUGCUCAGACUGUGGGAAGGGAUUCACAUCGUCAUCUAAACUGAAGGUACACCAGCGAGUUCACACUGGGGAGAGGCAAUCACCUGCUUAGUCUGUGGGAAGGGAAGUACUUGCUCAUCUAAACUGAAGGUUCAUCAACAAGUUCACACAGGGGAGAGGCUGAACAUCUGCUCAGACUUUGAUAAGAGAUUCUCUCAGCCAAAUGUACAUCAUUGUGUUCACACUUGGGAGAGCAUAUUCACCUGCUGUGAAUGUGGGAAGAUUCACUCAGUUAUUUAACCAUAUGUAACUCUCACUUCGGUUAACAGCUGAAUAUAAGGGGUGAUAGCCCCCCACCCCAAGCCCAAUCAAACUUAAGAAAUUUCAUUUGGGUAGAUGCUGCGCGAUGUGUCCCCUGUUACAAUUCAGUACCCCAAAAUAAAAAACAGUAUGCAAUAUCUGAUUAAACGAUGGAGAUUUGUAAUUCUUACUUUGAUUGCAGGGUUAGUAAAGAAAACAAACAAAAAGGGCUCACUCUAUCCGUUGACAUUUUCUCAUCUCUCACCAGCAAAAGACCAUGAAAAUCUCUCUUCCAGACUCACAAGGAAGAACAUUUCUCUCAUUGGAUAGUCCCGCACUCCAAAACCCUGUUAUCUCUGGUCGUAACCUAAAACUUGCUGCUAAAGAGAAACCAUUACCUCAGUUGUGACACACUACCGGGUUCACACUGGGGAGAAAGUUUCAAUCAGCUGGAUAUUUGUUCAUCACCGUUGCUGAAUACUGUUUCAAGAGUGACUGUCGGUGCUGAACUCUGCAAUUAUUGGUGCUGCUCACCACACACAGUUCUGCACCCUGGUCACUGGGCACGGGAGGAGUUUCUUCUGCUGUACAUUCACCUUUAAUGGGACUGGAGUUCAAUAUUCUGCAUCUGAGACAGAUAAAUCAGUUUUAUUUCAAACUCUGUCUCUGGUACUUAGUGAAUUUAUAACACACCUAGUGUACAGUAGAGAGUCAACUCAGGCCGGCUGGACCCUGCCAGUGAAUCUGUUCCAUGACGGUCCUUUUAAAUCCUCCUCCAUUGUUCCCCUCUCGCUCUCCCUGUGGUGAUGGGUUCCAAACAGUCAGCACUCUGUGGGUGAAGAGGUUUCCUUAGAAUUUUCUGAAGACUGAAGAAGUCAAGUUGACUCCUGUUCUGUCUGAGAUGUUCUUCACCCCUCAAAUCUCUGGGCUGAGGAAGAAUGACACUGGGAGUUAACCUCCUUAUUCAGGGCUCAUUUCCAUUUUCUGGGUCAUUUUCUCUGCUUCUAAACAGUUGUUACAAAACACCCCUGUCCUCUAAAGACUGAAAACAGAAUGGGAAACCAGCAGUUGGAUGUUCAACGGAGCAGAGUCAGAAACCAGAGGCGGGUCUGCACAGGGCAGAGUUUGGGGCUCUGGACGAUGGUCGGGGUAAGAACGUAUGAUGAGGAGAAGGGAAUCAGCAGCGGGGCGUGGCAAUGACUGUCAGGGUAGCAACAUUUGGAAGCUGAUUGACAGACACAGUCUUUCAUUUGUCUGACUUAUGACACAAACAAUACCUGUGGUGAGCUGCUCCACUGGUCGAGGAACAUGUGUGUGUUGGGAAUGGUUUUAUCUACUGAGGGAUUUGUUCUUGCUUCUUCAUCCUGUAAUAUUAUUUUCGGAUGUUUAGAUUAUCCUAUCUAUAAUAAUAUAUUGAUUAUCAUAUAAAUUGUGAAAUUCUGCCCCUAACUGGAUCAGGCUUGAAUUUCAGGUACCUUAAUGAAGUUACGGUGGUUAUUCAUGAGUUUGUAUUUUAAAGCAAGAUUUUAGUGAAUGAUAUUUGCCACUCGAUUGUGUUUCGUUUACUGUGGACUGUCGCUUUCAGCGCCUCAGUGAGGUGGGACGAUGACGUCAGUCACAGGCUGGAGCAGCUCACUUCUGAUUUUUAUAGAGAGAGAGACCUUCAGUUAGGGGAGAGCGAGACUGCGAAGCUGCUGACUUCAGUUUGUCAAUGUUUGGGAAUCUCCUAUGCCCAAAAGAUUGGGUUAAACAUAGGCAUGAAAUGCACAUUGGUGGGAGGUUAGAGGAUUGGAAAGCUUUUACAUAACCAACAGGGGACAUCUGAAAAAAAUACACACAGGCGAGACAAGAUGAAAAAUUAAGCUGUGCGGACCAGCGAUUCAUCUGGGCAGGAAAUGUUCACGUUGCUUUAAAACUGUCUCACUUUAAAUUGACAGUAGUUAAAAGAAAAUCCCAGCUGCAAAUCAACAAAGGCUAUUUGUGUGAGAGUGUUUCAGUUACUAUGGGGCCAGGAACCCAUGCAGCUCAGUGGGGACAGGGAAUAAUACCAAUGGAGAGAGUCAAUCUGAGCACAGGUUGGAGACUGGAGAAAUGCCUCAUUCUUGGAGAGACAGGAAGAGCAUCAGAGAGUUUCAUGGUUAUUCCAGAUGCCAGCAUGUGCCCAGUUAGAAGAUGAUGACUCUCUCCACUUUGGGUUGAACCUCACUCGAUCAUCUAACCGACUGGCACACCACUCAGUUUACACGGGGAGAGGCCGUUCACCUUUUUCAGUCUAUGAGGAUUCAAGGUCAUCUCGUGAAGGUACAUCAGCAAGUUCACACCAGAAAAGGCCAUUCAGCAGGGAGGAUGCUGCUGGUCUUCCCACCUGUGGACACACCAGUCAGAGACAGGUCAUCUGCUGAAUUUGUGGGGAAGGAUUCACUCAGUCAUCGGACCUAAUGUCUCACUAGCGAGUUCCCAGCAGGGAACGGCCGCUCACCUGCUCAGACUGUGGGCAGGGAUUCACUUCGUCACCUCAGUUACUGAGAUACCAGUCAGUUCACACUGAAGAGUCCACACAGGGAAAUGGCGGUUCAUCUGCACAGUCUGUGGGAGGGGAUUCGCUCAGUUAUCUGAACUGAAGGUAUAUCAGUGAGUUCACAUGGGGGAGAGGUCGUUCAUCUGCUCAGUCUGUGGGAAGGGAUUCACUGAAUCAUCCUCCCUGCAGAGACACCAGUCAGUUCACACUGGGAAGUGGCUGUUCACCUGCUCAGACUGUGUGAAGGGAUUCUCACCUGCUGAGAGACCAGUCAGCCCACACAGGGAAAGGGCCGUCCAUUUGCUAAUUCUGUGGGAAGGGAUUCACUUCGUCAUAUCGUCUACAGAAACACCAGUCAUCCCACACAGGGAAAUAACCGUUCGCCUACUUAGUCUGUGGGAAGGAAUUCACUCAUUCAUCUCAAAUGAAGGUACAUCAGCCAGUUCACACUGGGGAGAGGUCACUCACUUGCUCAGACUUUGGAAAGAGAUUCUCUCAGCCAAAUCAACCAAAUGUGCAUCAUUGAGUCAAUACUGGGGAGUGCCGUUCACAUGCUGUGAAUGUGGUAAAGGAUUCAUUAAGUUAUCUAUCCUUAUGACCCACUACCAGGUUCACACUGGGGAGAGGUUGCUCACCUGUUCUGAAUGUGGGAAGCGAUUGACUCCGUCAUCUAACCUUAUGUAACUCCAGCUUUGGCUAGCAGCUUAAUAUAGAGGGUGAUAGCCCCCGAGCCCGGCCAAACUUAAGAAAUCUCGUUUGGGUGGAUGCUGUGUGAUGUGUCCCCUGUUACAAAUCAGUACCACGUAAUAACAAACAGUAUGCAAUACGUGAUAAAACGACUGAGCUUUAUAUUUCUUACUUUGAAUAUAGGGUUUAUGAAGUAAUAAAAAAAAACAAAAGGGCUCACUCUCUCUUUUCGCAUCUUCUCAUCUCUCCCCAGCAAAAGACCACGAAUAUCUCUCUUCCAGACUUACAAGAGAGUAUAUUUCUCUCAUUGGAUAGCCCCAAACUGCAAAACCCUGUUAUCUCUGGUCGUAACCUAAACAUUGCUGCUUUAGAGAAAGCAUUAGCUCAGCAAUGAAACAUAACAGAGAGGACAUUACAUGAUCAGUGAAACCGUACAGCGUGUUAUACUUAUGACACACUACCGGGUUCACACCGGGGAGAAGGUUUCAAUAAGUUGCAUUCUGGAUAUUUGUCCAUCACCGUUGCUGAAUGCAAUUUCUAGAGUGACUGUCGGUGCUUAACUCUGCAGUUAUUGCUGCUGCUCACCACACCCAGUUCUGCACCCUGGUCACUGGGCAUGGGAGGAGUUUCUUCUGCUGCACCUUCACCUUUAAUGGGAUUGGAGUUUAAUAUUCUGGAUCUGAGACAAAUACUUCAGUUCUUUUUCAAAAUGCUGGUGGAAAACAGCAGGCCAGGCAGCAUUUAUAGGGAGAAGCACUGUCGACUUUUCGGCUGAGACCUUUCGUCAGGGUCCUGAAAUGGCCCGAAACGUCGACAGUGCUUCUCCCUAUAAAUGCUGCCUGGUCUGUUGUGUUGAACCAUCAUUUUGUGUGUGUUGCUUGAAUUUCCAGCAUCUGCAGAUUUCCUCGUGUUUGAGUUCUAUUUCAAACUCUGUCUCUGGUACUUAGUGAAUUUAUAACACACCUAGUGUAAAGCGAAGAGUCAGCUCAGGCCAGCUGGACCUUGCCAGUGAUUCAGUUCCAUGACAGUCUUUUUAAAUCCUCCUCUGUUGUUCGCCUCGCGCACUCCCUUUGGUGACGUGUUCCAAACAGUCACCACUCUGUGGGUGAAGAGGUUUCCCUUGAAUUCUCUGCAGACUGAAGAAGUUGAGCUGACUGCAGUUCUGUCUGAGAUGUUCUUCGCCCCUCUAAUUUCUGGGCUGAGGAAGAAUGAGAUUGGUAGUUAACCUCCCUAAUUACGACUCAUUUCCACAUUGUGGGUCACUUUCCCUGCUUCUAAAGUGUUGUUAGAAAAUACCCCUGUCCUCUAAAGACUGAAAGCAGAAUGGGAAACCAUUUGUUGGAUGUUCAAUGGAGCAGGGUCAGAAACCACAGGCGGGUCCACACAGGUCAGAGUUUGGGGCUCUGAACAAUGGUCGGGGUAAGAACGGAUGAUGAGGAGAAGGGAAUCAGCAGCGGGGCGUCGCAACGAAUGACAGAGUAGCAACAUUUGGAAGAUGAUUGACAGAGAAAAUGUUUCGGUUUUCUGACUGAUGAUACAAUCAUUACCUGUGGUGAGGUGCUCCACUGGUCGAAGAAUAUGUGUGUGUUGGGAAUGGUUUUCUCUAUUGAGGGAGUUGUUCCUGCUUCUUUAUCUUGUAAUAGGAAACCUGAUUGGUUAUUAUGGAUUAUCCUAUUUGAAAUAUGCAUUGAUUAUCAUAUAAUUUGUAAAAUUUUGACUCUAAAACUGGAUCAGCCUUGAACUUAUGGUCCCUUUAUGAAGUGAUGGAGGGCAUUCAUGAGUUUCUAUUUUAAAGCAAGAUGUUGGUGAAUGAUACCUGCCACUUGAUUGUACCUGUGUAAGUAUUCAGAUUGAGUUAAACUGCUGCAGGAUCCUGGAAUGUGUUGGAUUGUGUCAGGUUUCUCUCAUCAUUUCUGCAAGGAACCCCUCUGUUUCUGGGAGAGGUCUCCAAAUCACAGUCAGGUGCUCGUUGAUUCCUUGUCAACAUCUAGUCUGCUCAGAUCGUUGGGAUGUCUCCCAUGGAGGGUCAUACUCAUUCCACUAGUUAAUAAUUUCUUCCAGAGUGAUGAUUCAAUUUUUCUGAAUUGGCCUCUCAUUUAAGAUUUCUGCUCUGUAUUUCGUAUUACUAUUGCAUAUACACACACGGAGUUUUGAAUCCUGUUCAUUUUUGAUUGAAAUAUACACUGAAAACUUU
This is an RNA transcript of Hypanus sabinus (Atlantic stingray), 7295 nucleotides long. It is a transcript of the gene named zinc finger protein 239-like, with no coding region annotated. The transcript is spliced from 3 exons. Lineage: Eukaryota; Metazoa; Chordata; Chondrichthyes; Myliobatiformes; Dasyatidae. The record is from RefSeq and is a predicted model, not a curated record.